ACUGGCUCGCACCAAAGCCGUUCGAUCAUGCACUAUAGCCUCAGAUCCAGCUUGAUCAUGUCUGGAGUCAUCCUUAGCCAUCCUAUUACAAAUGGAUCACUCCAGAGCCAUUAGAUCACUCAAAAUCACCCAUGGAUCAUGCAUGGAUUGUGUGAUCGAUUUGCGCGGCCUCCAUGGACCACCCAGCACCCUACAUCCCAUGAUGGAC
This 208-nucleotide long non-coding RNA is filed under the name Elaeis guineensis (African oil palm). RNAcentral's name for it is "long non-coding RNA (EGUI_LNC030981)". The record is from RNAcentral. Lineage: Eukaryota; Viridiplantae; Streptophyta; Magnoliopsida; Arecales; Arecaceae.